GCUCCAGUGGCGCAAUCGGUUAGCGCGCCGUACUUAUAUAACAGUAUCGGAGAAAUGCGGAGGUUGUGAGUUCGAGCCUCACCUGGAGCACUUGUUUU
MicroRNA precursor from Ciona intestinalis (vase tunicate), 98 nucleotides. Lineage: Eukaryota; Metazoa; Chordata; Ascidiacea; Phlebobranchia; Cionidae. The record is from Ensembl.